AACGAACGCUGGCGGCAUGCCUAACACAUGCAAGUCGAACGAGACCUUCGGGUCUAGUGGCGCACGGGUGCGUAACGCGUGGGAACCUGCCCUUAGGUUCGGAAUAACUCCCCGAAAGGGGUGCUAUUACCGGAUAAUGUCUUCGGCCCAAAGAUUUAUCGCCUUUGGAUGGGCCCGCGUUGGAUUAGCUAGUUGGUAGGGUAAAAGCCUACCAAGGCGACGAUCCAAAGCUGGUCUGAGAGGAUGAUCAGCCACACUGGGACUGAGACACGGCCCAGACUCCUACGGGAGGCAGCAGUGGGGAAUAUUGGACAAUGGGCGAAAGCCUGAUCCAGCAAUGCCGCGUGAGUGAUGAAGGCCUUAGGGUUGUAAAGCUCUUUUACCCGGGAUGAUAAUGACAGUACCGGGAGAAUAAGCUCCGGCUAACUCCGUG
RNAcentral lists this ribosomal RNA (433 nucleotides) under uncultured bacterium. RNAcentral describes it as "partial 16S ribosomal RNA". It matches the Rfam family "Bacterial small subunit ribosomal RNA", at positions 29 to 507 of the family's 1533-position model. The record is from RNAcentral.